UGCUCAAGCAACAGGUCGCCGGCUGGA
RNAcentral lists this non-coding RNA (27 nucleotides) under Rattus norvegicus (Norway rat). The record is from RNAcentral. Lineage: Eukaryota; Metazoa; Chordata; Mammalia; Rodentia; Muridae.